RNAcentral lists this long non-coding RNA (2406 nucleotides) under Gossypium barbadense (sea-island cotton). RNAcentral describes it as "long non-coding RNA (GBAR_LNC010345)". The record is from RNAcentral. Lineage: Eukaryota; Viridiplantae; Streptophyta; Magnoliopsida; Malvales; Malvaceae.
AAGAACAAAGUUUUGUCCAUCUUUGUUCAUCAUAGCCUAAAGUUAGAGAAGAGAAAGGAGAUGAGAAAGCUCUUGAGUGUUCGGUCACUUGGGGAAGAAAAUUGAAGGUAAGUUCAUGGUAGUUUGCUUCUAUCUUGAUGUUCAUGAGUUCUUCUUGAUUCUACCUUAACUCUUGAAGCAUAUUUUGGUUUUUAGUUGUGUUGUGAGCAUUUAGUCAUGAAUUAAAAUGAAGGAAAUGGUUGUUGUUUCAAGUUCUUUUGAUGAAAAAUGGAAGAUAGGUGAAGUUGAGCCAAACAAAUGAGCAUGCAUGUGCCUUAGAUGCUAAGGGGAAAAAAUCGGCUAACAUGUUGUGCUUUAAAAUGAUGAAAUGGAGAUUAUACUUAAGUAAAAUCAUAGAUAUGUGAUGAUUGAUUGGUGAUAUACAUGUUUAAAUAACAAGCAUGCAAGUUAGGUGUGAAAGAGUGAUUUCGUAAUAAAUCUGCUUGGGACAGCAGCAGUAACGUGACUUUGGAAAAUCACCAUAAAUUCUGGGAGAUGAAUUAGAAGCUGAAUAAAUUAUGUAAUUAAAGCUUAUUGAGUCUAGUUUCAAAUUAAAUAAACAAGAACAUAUUUUGAAUUCUGUACAAUGAGAAAUUUGAUUCGUAAUGAAGAGAGGUCAGAUUAGUCAAACAGUGAAACAUGGGAAACUUUGAGAAAAAUCUGGUAUUGAUUGGCUAAACCAAAAAUUCUGAAAAUUUUAUGGAUAGAAUAUAUACGAGUCUAUUUUCAGGGAAAAUUAACGGAACUUGAUUUGGAGUUUCGUAGCUCCAGUUAUAAAUGAUUUAGUGACUGUUGCUCAGGAAGACAGCUUGCUGUGAAAUUAUGAUUAUGUGGUAAACACUGACAAAAAUUUGUUAAUGAGUUGCUUAUUGAUUUCUUAUAAGCUUACUCUGAUCUAUAGGUGUGGUUGGCUGAAUAUUGUAAGGGUUUAAUACGUAGUUCGUAUUUGAAUAGUUAGAUUAACGUGUUAGUAAUCCAAUUGUAGGCGGUUCGUGUGUGGAUCUCGUCAGCAUAUCGUCGCAAACAGGUGUGUAACUGACACCCUCUCAUAGACUAGAUUGGCAAAAGCCGAAAAGCCGAAAUGCCGAAAAUUCGGUAUUUUGGGAAUUUACGAGUGUGCGAAUGCUCAUAAGAUAGUUGGGUUUGUAUAUUUGGUAAUCUAAAGUAAUAAACUGCAGUACGCGUGAUUUCGUACAUUUUGAUAAUUUGGGCUUAAUGGGCCAAAGAUCGGGUUCAUGGGCCAAUGGGCCCAAUUCGGUAAGUAUGCGCGGUAAGUGUUCUGAUAGUACGUAAAUAGUUAGGAUAUGCAUGAAAACCCUAAAAGCAGCUAAAUUACUAUAAUACCCUUAUGUAUGGAAAAUUACUGUUAUACCCCUAGGUGCAAAAUUACCGUUAUACCCCUAGGGUUAAUUUUGACUGAAAAGCAUGACGAUCUGAUUCUGUAUGAUGUAUUCCAUGAUUAUAUAUCUGUUGCAUGGGGACAUGGGUUAUAUUAUGGAGGAAGCGUCCUGGUGGCUAUGCCACAAUUAUCUGAUCUGGUGGCUUUGCCACUUAUAUUUGUUCUGGUGGCUAUGCCACGGUUAUUUGAUCUGGUGGCUCUGCCACAUAUAUCUGUUCUGGUGGCUCUGCCACAAUAUCUGUAUCUGGUGGCUCUACCACAAUAUCUGUAUCUGGUGACUUCGUCACAAUAUCUGGCAGCCUCACUGCGAUUUCUGUGGUGUGUAGCGGUUGGGUGGGUCGAGUAGUUUCCCCACAUGGUGUAAGGCUGGUACGGGGGUGUUAUGGAUGAAUCUGGGUUGGGUUUCUGCAUAAACAUGUAAUAUCUAUUCUGUUCUAUUAUGGGCCUAUGGGCUUUAUUCUGAAUUCUAUUCUGGGCUAAGGCCAACUUAUUCUAUUUCUAUGGUUUGAGCUGAUAUAGGCUAUGGUUGGGUUAAUUUACACACUGAGUUUCCCCGAACUCACCCCUUUUAUUUUCAUCCACACAGGUAAUCCCCAACCAUAGUGGGCUUGGAGCUGUGAGGGAAUUCGGAGUGGCCACCCGUUCUGAAAGUUUGAUUUUCUUCUGGUGAACUGGACAUCCUUUUAUUUACGUUUGAAGUUUUGGGUUUUUAAAUGUAAUAAGGCCGCUUAAUUAUUUUUGAUGGUUUUAAUAUGUAUUACUAAGAUAGGUAUUACUUAUUUUAACUGUUGAAAUUGGAUAGCUUUAGGGUGCGUUUUCAAAAAUAACAAUUGAUUUCAAAAUAACACGACAACAAGCAAAGCUUCCGCAAUGAAAGUAUUUUCCAAAAUUAAUCACUUUUCCUAAAAAUGACAUAAUCAAAUCGGUUUCCUAGAAAUAUCCAUGACGUUAAGGUGUGGCAAUGGCGG